RNAcentral lists this ribosomal RNA (403 nucleotides) under uncultured prokaryote. RNAcentral's name for it is "bacterial SSU rRNA". It matches the Rfam family "Bacterial small subunit ribosomal RNA", at positions 355 to 776 of the family's 1533-position model. The record is from RNAcentral.
UGGGGAAUAUUGCACAAUGGGCGAAAGCCUGAUGCAGCAACGCCGCGUGAGCGAUGAAGGCCUUCGGGUCGUAAAGCUCUGUCCUCAAGGAAGAUAAUGACGGUACUUGAGGAGGAAGCCCCGGCUAACUACGUGCCAGCAGCCGCGGUAAUACGUAGGGUGCUAGCGUUAUCCGGAUUUACUGGGCGUAAAGGGUGCGUAGGUGGUCUUUCAAGUCGGUGGUUAAAGGCUACGGCUCAACCGUAUUAAGCCGCCGAAACUGGAAGACUUGAGUGCAGGAGAGGAAAGUGGAAUUCUCAGUGUAGCGGUGAAAUGCGUAGAUAUUGAGAAGAACACCAGUAGCGAAGGCGGCUUUCUGGACUGUAACUGACACUGAGGCACGAAAGCGUGGGUAGCAAACAGG